This 329-nucleotide ribosomal RNA is filed under the name uncultured eukaryote. RNAcentral's name for it is "partial 18S ribosomal RNA". It matches the Rfam family "Eukaryotic small subunit ribosomal RNA", at positions 1470 to 1796 of the family's 1831-position model. The record is from RNAcentral.
CCCUUAGAUGUUCUGGGCCGCACGCGCGCUACACUGAUGCAUUCAACGAGUCUAAAACCUGCUCUGAUAGGGGUGGGUAAUCUUUUGAAUGUGCAUCGUGAUUGGGAUAGAUGAUUGCAAUUUUUCAUCUUCAACGAGGAAUGCCUAGUAAACGCAAGUCAUCAGCUUGCAUUGAUUACGUCCCUGCCCUUUGUACACACCGCCCGUCGCUCCUACCGAUUGAAUGAUCCGAUGAAUAUCAUGGAUUGAGGAUGCAAGUAGGUUAGCCUAUCUUCAUCUUCGAGAAGUGAAGUAAAUCUUAUCAUUUAGAGGAGGGAGAAGUCGUAACA